This 281-nucleotide ribosomal RNA is filed under the name uncultured bacterium. Its description in RNAcentral is "partial 16S ribosomal RNA". It matches the Rfam family "Bacterial small subunit ribosomal RNA", at positions 505 to 784 of the family's 1533-position model. The record is from RNAcentral.
GUGCUAGCAGCCGCGGUAAUACGUAGGGGGCGAGCGUUGUCCGGAUUUAUUGGGCGUAAAGCGCUCGUAGGCGGUUCAACAAGUCGGUAGUAAAAGUUCAGGGCUCAACCCGGAAAUGUCUCUCGAUACUGUUGUGAAUAGGAUACGGCAGAGGUGAGGGGAAUUCCGAGUGUAGCGGUGAAAUGCGUAGAGAUUCGGAGGAACACCAAUUGCGAAGGCAGAUCACUGGGCCGCUAUGGACGCUGAGGAGCGAAAGCUAGGGGAGCAAACAGGAUUAGAUA